CUCAAAUUAAUAAAGUCAGGCUCAAAGGGUGGUCAAACACACACAAAUUAAAUAAGGCUAAAAACUAACCCCGCUGUAGCACGCAAUAGUUAAAAUAAACACAACUUCGAAAGUGGCCCUACAAAAUAAACUUGAACCCACGACAACUAGGAGACAAACUGGGAUUAGAUACCCCACUAUGCCUAGUUAUAAACUUUGAUUUAUCCGCCAGAAUACUACGAGCAACAGCUUAAAACUCAAAGGACUUGGCGGUGCUCUACACCCCCCUAGAGGAGCCUGUUCUAUAAUCGAUAAUCCACGAUAAACCUCACCAUCUAUUGCCAAUACAGCCUAUAUACCACCGUCCAGCCCACCCUUUAAAGGGCUAACAGUAGGCACAACUAUAGACAUAAAAACGUCAGGUCAAGGUGUAGCAUAUAAGAUGGGAAGAAAUGGGCUACAUUUUCUAACUUAGAAAAUUACGGAAAAGCUUGUGAAAUUAAAGCUAUGAAGGAGGAUUUAGCAGUAAAAAGAAAAAAGAGGGUUCUUUUUAAACCGGCAAUGGAGCGCGCACACACCGCCCGUCACCCUCUUCAAAUAACCAUAAACAAUAAAUAAAUAAAGAUUAAAAAAAGAAGAGGCAAGUCGUAACAUGGUAAGUCUACCGGAAGGUGAACUUGGAACAUC
Molecule: ribosomal RNA, 666 nt
Filed under: Paramesotriton longliensis
Lineage: Eukaryota; Metazoa; Chordata; Amphibia; Caudata; Salamandridae
Description: partial 12S ribosomal RNA
Rfam family: Bacterial small subunit ribosomal RNA
Source: RNAcentral